Molecule: small RNA, 131 nt
Filed under: Enterobacteriaceae bacterium
Lineage: Bacteria; Pseudomonadati; Pseudomonadota; Gammaproteobacteria; Enterobacterales; Enterobacteriaceae
Also listed under: 2 other names
Description: RtT sRNA
Rfam family: RtT RNA
About the family: This family represents a bacterial cis-regulatory element known as RtT RNA.
Source: RNAcentral
AUAUUCUCCGAAGCGGGAAGGAUGAGAAGCUUCGACCAAGGUUCGAUUCGAGCGAAGCGAGAAAGCGUUGCCGCAGGCAACGACCCGAAGGGCGAGGCGCAGCGCGCCGAGUAAUCCUUCCCCCACCACCA